GGACUACAGGGGUUUCUAAUCCUGUUUGCUCCCCACGCUUUCGCAGUUGAGUGUCAGUCACUGUCCAGGUCGCCGCCUUCGCCUCAGGUGUUCCUCCCGAUCUCUACGCAUUUCACCGCUACACCGGGAAUUCCACGACCCUCUCCAGCACUCGAGUCUCACCGUUUCCGGGGCACUUCUUGAGUUAAGCUCAAGGCUUUCACCCCAGACAAAUGAGACCACCUACCUGCCCUUUACGCCCAAUAAUUCCGAGCAACGCUUGCACCCUCUGUAUUACCGCGGCUGCUGGCAC
Molecule: ribosomal RNA, 292 nt
Filed under: uncultured bacterium
Lineage: Bacteria
Description: partial 16S ribosomal RNA
Source: RNAcentral